Molecule: ribosomal RNA, 474 nt
Filed under: uncultured Saprospiraceae bacterium
Lineage: Bacteria; Pseudomonadati; Bacteroidota; Saprospiria; Saprospirales; Saprospiraceae
Description: bacterial SSU rRNA
Rfam family: Bacterial small subunit ribosomal RNA
Source: RNAcentral
GAUGAACGCUAGCGGGAGGCUUAAUACAUGCAAGUCGAACGGUAACAGUCCGAACCUAGUUUGGAGCUGACGAGUGGCGCACGGGUGAGUAACGCGUACGUACCUGCCUUAUACUGAGGGACACACACUGGAAACGGAGUAAAUACCUCAUAGUAUCAUACUGGUUAUGAUUAAAGUUUCGGCGGUAUAAGAUGGACGUGCGUUAGAUUAGAUAGUUGGUGAGGUAACGGCUCACCAAGUCGACGAUCUAUAGGGGGCGUGAGAGCGUGAUCCCCCACACGGGUACUGAGACACGGACCCGACUCCUACGGGAGGCAGCAGUAAGGAAUAUUGGACAAUGGGCGAAAGCCUGAUCCAGCCAUCCCGCGUGCAGGAUGACGGCGCUCAGCGUUGUAAACUGCUUUUAUGUGAGAAGAAACGCUUUCAUUUAUGAGAGCCUGACGGUAUCACAAGAAUAAGCACCGGCUAACUCCG